This 332-nucleotide ribosomal RNA is filed under the name uncultured eukaryote. Its description in RNAcentral is "partial 18S ribosomal RNA". It matches the Rfam family "Eukaryotic small subunit ribosomal RNA", at positions 1470 to 1796 of the family's 1831-position model. The record is from RNAcentral.
CCCUUAGACGUUCUGGGCUGCACACGUGCUACACUGGCAGGUUCAGCGAGCUUCAUGCCCUGAUCUGAAAGGAAUGGGAAAUCUUUUCAAAACCUGCCGUGCUUGGGAUAGAUGUUUGCAAUUAUUCAUCUUCAACGAGGAUUGCCUUGUAAGCGCACGUCAUCAGCGUGCAUUGAAUACGACCCUGUAUUCUGUACACACCGCCCGUCGCUCCUACCGAUUGAAGUUUUCGGUGAGUUGACAGGAGGAUUUUUUUGAAACUGGUUCGCCAGUGGAUUUUAGAUCCAAAUGCCAACGAAUCGAUGGCUUUAGAGGAAGGAGAAGUCGUAACA